AGGAUAAACGCUGGCGGCGUGCCUAACACAUGCAAGUCGAACGUCUCUUCUUUCGGGAAGAGGAGUGGCGGACGGGUGAGGAACACGUGGGAACCUGCCCUUCAGUGAGGAAUACCGGCGAGAAAUCGCCGACAAGACCGCAUAGCCCUCUCUGGUGAGAGCCAGAGAAGGAAAGCCUCGCAAGAGGCGCUGGAGGAGGGGCCUGCGUCCGAUUAGCUAGUUGGUGGGGUAAGAGCCUACCAAGGCGUCGAUCGGUAGCUGGUCUGAGAGGACGAUCAGCCACACUGGGAUUGAGAACGGCCCAGACUCCUACGGGGGGCAGCAGUGAGGAAUUUUCGGCAAUGGGGGAAACCCUGACCGAGCAACGCCGCGUGCAGGAAGACGGCCUCGGGUUGUAAACUGCUUUUCUUUGGUACGAGCAAGGACGGUACCAGAGGAAUCAGCCCGGCUCACUACGCGCCAGCAGCCGC
Molecule: ribosomal RNA, 470 nt
Filed under: uncultured bacterium
Lineage: Bacteria
Description: SSU rRNA
Rfam family: Bacterial small subunit ribosomal RNA
Source: RNAcentral